CAACCAUUUAGUUGGUCGCAAACACUCUUCAUCCCGCUGCUAUCGUCGUCACCACCACCACUCAAAAACGAACAAACCUAACACACCACUAAAUGCAGUAAACUACCACCGUUAUCAUUCUCUAGCGAUGGUGGUGGUACAGAUUCAUCCUACCCAUCACCGCCACUGCCAUCGCCACCACACCACAACCACUACCAACACCAACACCAACACCACCACCAACAACACUGCUACCAUCAUAUCCAUCGUCAACAAAAAUCAUCCCAACACCUAAACAUGAAAACCACCACCACUCAUAAAACCAUCAAACCCAAAACACCAUAAAAUGCAGCAAACUACCACCAUCAUCAUUCUCUACUAGCGGCACUCAAAACUCAUCAUCGGAGACGAUGCAAUCUCUUCUCUUUUCAUCAGCGAUAC
RNAcentral lists this long non-coding RNA (420 nucleotides) under Olea europaea (common olive). RNAcentral's name for it is "long non-coding RNA (OEUR_LNC003373)". The record is from RNAcentral. Lineage: Eukaryota; Viridiplantae; Streptophyta; Magnoliopsida; Lamiales; Oleaceae.